AGUUCCUCUGAACCAAUGCAGAGCGCUCCAUGGUCUAUGACAUCCAAAGAAGAUCAUGACAAAAGAAACUACAAAUUAUCCUGUCUCACAGAACAAAAACUUCCAUUUGGAACUCUAUUUUCCCACAGUGGAUUAUUUUGUGGAGGUAUCAAAUUUGGACUAGCUGUGCUACACAACAGUGAGUAAUCAUGGAGCUGUUUAUCCCACUAGCUUACCAGAUAAAAGCAGAAUGGUGCCAUUCAUCAAGACAAGCGACAAUUAAAGAAGACCAGGUUUAUUACAAUAAAUAUCACGGAAUGCCUACCAUGGGCCAAGCACUGAGGAUUCUGAAAGAAAGAUAAUAGGGAAGGGUAGGAGAAACUGCCUGGUGGGACUGUGAUAAAAAAGCCUGCAAGAGGGUAUAAAAUCUCCAUAUAUCUAAGGCCAUCUGGGGCACACUCGACCUCUACCAAUUUAUUAACUAUCUAGCACAGUUAUUCUUACGGCAUUUAUGAGUCAACCUUAGGAGAUGAAACUCUCAAGUAAAAGGAACUCUCCCUGUACCAGUAGGAAAAUCAUGCUGCUAUAAAGACACAUGCACACGUAUGUUUACUGCGGCACUAUUCACAAUAGCAAAGACUUGGAACCAACCCAAAUGUCCAACAACGGUAGACUGGAUUAAGAAAAUGUGGCACAUAUACACCAUGGAAUACUAUGCAGCCAUAAAAAAUGAUGAGUUCAUGUCCUUUGUAGGGAUAUGGAUGAAACUGGAAAUCAUCAUUCUCAGUAAACUAUCGCAAGGACAAAAAACCAAACACCGCAUGUUCUCACUCAUAGGUGGGAAUUGAACAAUGAGAACACAUGGACACAGGAAGGGGAACAUCACACUCCGGAGACUGUUGUAGGGUAGGGGGAGGGGGG
Long non-coding RNA from Symphalangus syndactylus (siamang), 900 nucleotides. RefSeq lists it as uncharacterized. The record is from RefSeq and is a predicted model, not a curated record. NCBI's taxonomy places the organism in Eukaryota, Metazoa, Chordata, Mammalia, Primates, Hylobatidae.